This 200-nucleotide ribosomal RNA is filed under the name uncultured prokaryote. Its description in RNAcentral is "partial 16S ribosomal RNA". It matches the Rfam family "Bacterial small subunit ribosomal RNA", at positions 1182 to 1382 of the family's 1533-position model. The record is from RNAcentral.
ACGUCAAAUCAUCAUGCCCCUUACGUCUAGGGCUACAGGCGUGCUACAAUGGCUGGUACAAAAAGACGCAAUACCGUGAGGUGGAGCAAAUCUCUAAAACCAGUCCCAGUUCGGAUUGGAGUCUGCAACUCGACUCCAUGAAGUUGGAAUCGCUAGUAAUCCUGAAUCAGAAUGUCAGGGUGAAUACGUUCCCGGGUGUU